UACGUAGGGUGCAAGCGUUAAUCGGAAUUACUGGGCGUAAAGCGUGCGCAGGCGGUCUUGUAAGACAGGUGUGAAAUCCCCGGGCUUAACCUGGGAACUGCACUUGUGACUGCAAGGCUGGAGUACGGCAGAGGGGGAUGGAAUUCCGCGUGUAGCAGUGAAAUGCGUAGAUAUGCGGAGGAACACCGAUGGCGAAGGCAAUCCCCUGGGCCUGUACUGACGCUCAUGCACGAAAGCGUGGGGAGCAAACAGG
RNAcentral lists this ribosomal RNA (253 nucleotides) under uncultured bacterium. RNAcentral's name for it is "partial 16S ribosomal RNA". It matches the Rfam family "Bacterial small subunit ribosomal RNA", at positions 524 to 776 of the family's 1533-position model. RNAcentral also lists the same sequence under 2 other names. The record is from RNAcentral.